UGCUGUCCUCUGUGAACACCUCUGAGUGAGCCUUGAGUUUUAUCCUGGGGAUUUCCUAUGGGGUAAUGAAAAAUUUCAAGAGAGAUAUGAUGUAUGGGAAAUCUGUGUCCAACCUUGGAAGCAAGUGCUGUUCUCUGAUCCCAGGCUAGUGCCUGCUGCAGUGAAGUAUCGUUCUGUUCCACAGUGUGUGUCAUUUCUUCUUGAUAUUUUUCUACUCAGUGGCUGAUGUCAUCUGCUUUUUUCCUCCUCAAUUAUGCUUCUAACAUAGAAAAUAAUUGCAGGGAGCAAGAGAUAAAAAGCUUCUGAGAAUUCCCAUGGAUUCCCUUCUGCUUCAGACAAGUAAAGAUCCCUCUGGCAUCAUUGGAAUUUUCUUGCCUGCUGGUAUUGAGAAGUCCUGAGGACUGUGUACAAAGAAAUAGAAAGGCUGCAUUUUAGUAGUGGGAAUUUUAACAGUACAGUCUGACUCGAGUCAGAGACACUAUCUCAUCUGGGGCCCAAUCCUGCUGUCAGUACAAUUCAGAGGGAUAAGAUCAAGCCUUGAGCUGGUGGUGCAGUGACAACAGCCCUCACACAAAACCUUUUGAAGGGACUCUUUGUGUUCUACAGGCCCUGGCAAACUGAGUCCCAGUGGCAAGUAUGGAGGGAAGACAGAGCUGAUGAAGUUGCCAGGGUCUGUGAUAAACCCAAGGACAGAACAUAGCAAGCAUCACAGUAGUCUACGAAGUACAGUAAAAAGGAAAAAAAAAAGGCUAUAAAUAAGUUGAAGAUGAUGUUUCAGAUAGGAAUGGGGCACAAUUUGUCCCUGACAAGGCACCUGGAAUGCUUGAUCCUAAAGCUGCAGUGAUUUGAAUUGAAUUCCUGUGAUCUGCCUGUGGGAACAGCCAGGAUGGCAUUUUUCACCUUCCUCUGGCCUUAUUUCAUAAUUGGAAUUAAUGACUUUUCCUGGAAGAAAAUCAGGCAGUGAGCAAUGAUUAUCUUAGUCCUUGGUUAGGACUCCUGCACAUUCUGAUAAUGGAUCUGACCUUCUAUCCAAGCAAGUUCAUGCUCCCUCUGGAUACUGAAGGAGACGUUUUGAGCACAUUAGAAGGCUACUAGGAAGAAGCUGAUGGGAGAAGAUUGGACAGCAGUAUCACCACUUGCUGUUCUUUGGAAUUACGACCGUGAGCUCUGGGGACUGACACGUACCUGAUACACAGAAGGGAAGGCUGUGCAUAUCAGCAUCAGCCUGCUUCCACCUCAUUAUUCCCUCAGAAUGGGUGUUUCCAUCCAAGUGAUUAUUUGAGAGCUUUUGACUGAAAUGUGGGCACACAGGUCUUUCCUCCCAAGCUUCCAUUAUAACCAUGGUCUGGAAUUUGUUAUCGGUAAGUGCAGGAUAAAAUUGCACAAAAUUAAUUUUUUUUUAAGGUUGACCUUGAUCUUUU
Molecule: long non-coding RNA, 1421 nt
Organism: Parus major (Great Tit)
Lineage: Eukaryota; Metazoa; Chordata; Aves; Passeriformes; Paridae
Exons: 4
Source: RefSeq, a predicted model, not a curated record